AAAGCGAGAAAAGGGGCGUGCUAAGGAUAAGUGACAUCUUCACCUCCCAUGCUGACCUGUCCGGCAUCAGCAACCACUCAAACAUCCAGGUGUGUGAGAUGGUGCACAAAGCUGUGGUGGAGGUGGACGAGUCUGGGACCAGAGUGGCGGCAGCCACUGGGACAAUCUUCAUGUUCAGGUCGGCCUACCUGGGCUCUCAGAGGAUAGUGUUCAACAGGCCCUUUCUGAUGUUCGUUGUGGAGAACAAUACCCUCUUCCUUGGCAAAGUGAACUGCCCCUGAGGUGGGGCUUCUUCUGAAAUCUACAGGCCUCAGGUAGGAGAUGAAGGUGGGUGUGCUAUGGCCCAUCCGUAUGCUGGUAGCUAGUGAUUUACACUGGUUUAGUUGACUAAUGAGGCAUUACAAACAAUAAAAUUACUAAAUAAUGAUUGCAUCCACCCACACAACCACAAGAUACAGGUGCCUUGGGGAAAUUUGGAGAACAUUCAGUCUUGCCCUCACAAUUUAUCAAGAAAGAUUAGCACUGAGAUCCAGAGAGGCUGGUUGACAUGCUCAAGUUCACCAGCAUGUUAGUGGAGGAGACAGGUCCAGAGUCCAGGCCCUUGAUGCCCAGCUCAGUGCCACAAAGCUCAGGAGGAGGGUUCCAGUGGGCGAGGGCCACCAGGAAGCACACGUCCAAGCCUGGUCCCCCACCUAUCAGCAACAGUAACUGUCAGUUCAUCCUGCAUGAGAAAAAUACUGGGAUGGGAGUCUGAAAUGGGGCUACUCUUUUGGCCCUAACCUGCUGUGUGACAUUGGGGCAACAUUUUUUCUCUCUGGACCUCAGUUUUCCUCUGUAUACAAGGAUCAGACUCUUGCUGUGAUCCAAGGACUCCUGAAAUCAUAUAGAAAGGCUGAGGUGUGCCCUGUCAAUCAUGGUUGAUUUCAAAACACUCAAGAGCCAUUCAUCCUGUAAGACAAACAUCUGGAUAUUAGGGUGGAAAUGGCCCAUUUGAUGAUUGAUUAUAUCAUCUUGUGGAUAUGGUUAUAAUCUUAUGGGCCUGGAUGGGAGUGGAAGAAGGGAAGCCUGUUGCAAAGAGUAGAGUAUCAGUUGCAGGUGUCAAUGACUAACUUUUUGAAUUUUACAUUGGCAUUAACAAUAAAGCAUUUUGCAAACAC
This is a long non-coding RNA of Sapajus apella (tufted capuchin), 1157 nucleotides long. RefSeq lists it as uncharacterized. The transcript is spliced from 2 exons. The record is from RefSeq and is a predicted model, not a curated record. Lineage: Eukaryota; Metazoa; Chordata; Mammalia; Primates; Cebidae.